RNAcentral lists this ribosomal RNA (253 nucleotides) under uncultured bacterium. Its description in RNAcentral is "partial 16S ribosomal RNA". It matches the Rfam family "Bacterial small subunit ribosomal RNA", at positions 524 to 776 of the family's 1533-position model. The record is from RNAcentral.
UACAGAGGGGGCAAGCGUUGUUCGGAAUUACUGGGCGUAAAGGGCGCGUAGGCGGCCUGUUAAGUCGAACGUGAAAUCCCCAGGCUCAACCUGGGAACUGCGUCCGAUAUUGGCAGGCUUGAAUCCGGGAGAGGGAUGCGGAAUUCCAGGUGUAGCGGUGAAAUGCGUAGAUAUCUGGAGGAACACCGGUGGCGAAGGCGGCAUCCUGGACCGGUAUUGACGCUGAGGCGCGAAAGCCAGGGGAGCAAACGGG